AGAGUUUGAUCCUGGCUCAGGAUGAACGCUGGCGGCGUGCCUAAUACAUGCAAGUCGAGCGGAAGAUUUAGCAAUAGAUCUUUAGCGGCGAACGGGUGAGUAACGCGUUGGUGACCUGCCUCGAAGAUUGGGAUAACAGUUCGAAAGGACUGCUAAUACCGGAUGUGAUCCUGGAGAUUAGAAGCUCUGGGAUUAAAGGAGCAAUCCACUUCGAGAGGGGCCUGCGUCCCAUCAGCUAGUUGGUAAGGUAAAGGCUUACCAAGGCGAUGACGGGUAGGGGACCUGAGAGGGUGGCCCCCCACAAUGGAACUGAAACACGGUCCAUACACCUACGGGUGGCAGCAGUAGGGAAUAUUGCAUAAUGGGCGAAAGCCUGAUGCAGCAACGCCGCGUGUGCGAUGAAGGCCUUCGGGUCGUAAAGCACUUUUGAAGGGGAUGAGGAAGGACAGUACCCUUCGAAUAAGCUUCGGCUAACUACGUGCCAGCAGCCGCGGUAAAACGUAGGAAGCGAGCGUUAUCCCGGAUUUACUGGGCGUAAAGCGCGUGUAGGCGGUCCUGUAAGUUGGAUGUGAAAGCUCCUGGCUUAACUGGGAGAGGUCGUUCAAAACUGCGAGACUAGAGGAUGGGAGAGGGAAGUGGAAUUCUGGGUGUAGUGGUGAAAUGCGUAGAUAUCCGGAGGAACACCAGUGGCGAAAGCGGCUUCCUGGCCCAUAACUGACGCUCAGACGCGAAAGCUAGGGGAGCGAACGGGAUUAGAGACCCCGGUAGUCCUAGCUGUAAACGAUGUGGACUUGGCGUUGGGCGGGUUUAAAUCCGU
This 817-nucleotide ribosomal RNA is filed under the name uncultured bacterium. RNAcentral describes it as "bacterial SSU rRNA". It matches the Rfam family "Bacterial small subunit ribosomal RNA", at positions 8 to 839 of the family's 1533-position model. The record is from RNAcentral.